RNAcentral lists this long non-coding RNA (337 nucleotides) under Lathyrus oleraceus (garden pea). Its description in RNAcentral is "Pisum sativum (pea) long non-coding RNA (PSAT_LNC029019)". Lineage: Eukaryota; Viridiplantae; Streptophyta; Magnoliopsida; Fabales; Fabaceae. The record is from RNAcentral.
UUUCUUUGCUUUCAUAUUGACCAUUAGAUUCGAUUGAUCAAUGGUUCAUACUUGCAAUCCAUGUAAUUCUUGUUUCAACCAAUCAAAAAAUAGAAAUAAAUUAAAUUAAAAAUAAGAAAAAUGAAUAGAAGGGUCUCUCUCUCCUCUCAUCUCUCUAUACACUGAAGGCUCUCUCAAAAAAGUAAAAAGAAAAGAAACGAAAUAAAAGGGGAAACCCUUCAUCUUCCUCGCCCACCAGUCGUCUUCAUCGUCUCUCUCACCACCCAACCAUUCACACGAAACCCUCACUCUCUCUCCACCACUCAUUUCCCAAAUCCUACCUAAACCACCGCCAAUU